GUUUUCCGUUCGUAGACUCCUGUUCCCGUGCGCCGUCCACGCUCAUCUGGCCACUGUUCGCUACGUUUUAUCAGCC
Molecule: small RNA, 76 nt
Filed under: Xanthomonas sp. 3793
Lineage: Bacteria; Pseudomonadati; Pseudomonadota; Gammaproteobacteria; Lysobacterales; Lysobacteraceae
Description: sRNA sX9
Rfam family: Xanthomonas sRNA sX9
Source: RNAcentral